Molecule: long non-coding RNA, 487 nt
Organism: Zea mays
Lineage: Eukaryota; Viridiplantae; Streptophyta; Magnoliopsida; Poales; Poaceae
Exons: 2
Source: RefSeq, a predicted model, not a curated record
CUGAGAGUGGAGACGGUGCCUCCAUGGUGGAAUAAAGUCCUUCGCCCUCCUCUCUACCUUGCCAUCAAGCGCUCUGGUGAUGGCGACGGGGUUAUAAGGUUAGGGUCCGCCGGAUUUGGUGACCGAGUUAGAGCUCCAAAUCUGGCCGGAUCUUGUAUAGGAGUUGUUCGCCGUUCGUUGUUGGCGGCGGCACAUCACAGAAGGACGAUGGACGGGUUGGUGUAUGCGUGGCGGAGGAGCUGGUGCCCGGUCACGCCUCGCCGGCAACGGGUACAGCCCCUGAACCGGAGAGUCUUGGGGUGCGUCCCCGGCCGAUGUUCUUCCUUGCGAAGGAUGACGACGAACGGCGCCUGGCGGCACAAAAGUUCCAAAGGGCCUUGUUAUAAUUUUUCUUUUUGUAUGGACUUUUGUGUACACCUUUCCCUUUUGUACACCUCGAGAAGGUGUUGUGGUCUUGUACACGUGCUACGCUGUUCGAUUUAAUACA